This 1851-nucleotide long non-coding RNA is filed under the name Homo sapiens (human). RNAcentral's name for it is "HSALNT0301594". Lineage: Eukaryota; Metazoa; Chordata; Mammalia; Primates; Hominidae. The record is from RNAcentral.
CGUGAAGCUAGCCGCCCAGAGAAGGAUGGGUAACCAACCAUCUUCAGUCUGUAUGUCUCUCCAAUGCAUCCUGAAUCACUGGGAUUCCUUUGAAAAGAGAAAAUCAACCUUCUUCUUCCUGUUUCCUCCUCUGUCCUCUCUUCAUGGAUGAAUAAUCAUGUCUCCAUACCACAGGACAUUUCCCUCUGUGAAAAGUUUAAUUUCUGCAUUAAACCACUUGGCUUAAAAAAAAAUGAACUGGGAAGACAUUAUAACUCACAUUCCCCUCUGUGAAAAGUUUAAUUUCCAUAAACCUUAAAUCACUUGACUUAAAAAAAAAAUGAACUGGGAAAACUCUAACUGAGCAAUCUCUUGAGGAAGGACAAUGUUUACAGUAUGCAAAUAACCUAUUUGUCUGCUCCCCCUUUACGGAACUCCAGGGUCAAAGGGCUUCAUAGCUCGGGGGAAGGGAACCCAGAAGCCUGACAUGCUGGCAAACGAGUAAAAGUUUUUUACCCAUCAGACUUCUGGCUUUUCUCUCUCUCUGUGCAAACUGUUUGAAUGAAUGAUAAAAAUCACUGUUUAUAUACUCUGAAACGUUGUGAUUAAUGGAAAAAGGAUUUGUGAGGUGAGUCUUAAGCUAUAGAGAAUCUGUGAUACUUUGUGUUAAGAAUUUCUCUUUCUGUAUCUUUCUAUCAGAAAGAGGGGUACCUUAGGAUAAAAUGUGGGUCUAGGCCCAAAUGUCCAACAAUGAUAGACUGGGUUAAGAAAAUGUGGCACAUAUACACCAUGGAAUACUAUGCAGCCAUAAAAAAUGAUGAGUUCAUGUCCUUUGUAGGGACAUGGAUGAAGCUGGAAAUCAUCAUUCUCAGUAAACUAUCGCAAGAACAAAAAACCAAACACCGCAUAUUCUCACUCAUAGGUGGGAAUUGAACAAUAACACAAGGACACAGGAAGGGGAACAUCACACUCUGGGGACUGUUGUAGGGUGAGGGGAGUGGGGAGGGAUAGCACUGGGAGAUAUACCUAAUGCUAGAUGACGAGUUAGUGGGUGCAGCACACCAGCAUGUCACAUGUAUACAUAUGUAACUAACCUGCACAUUGUGCACAUGUACCCUAAAACUUAAAGUAUAAUAAAAAAAAAAGUGGGUCUAGGACCCCAUAAGCCCAUUGUUCAAGUCAGCCUGACAAACUGGUCAGUAGCUAAUUUUGCUAUAGGUCUCCGAAGAAAAAAAAUGGGAUGAGGUCUCCGUUUUCUUUUACCUACUUGGGAGCUUGACCUUGUAACCACAUGGCAAUACUUUUUUGGUCUCCGCCGUUUUACAGUGGUGGCCCAGGUUCAAUCCUGGCUUAGGGAAUGAGUAUUUUCUGGUUAAUAUCUGUGUGACUUUUUCCAUUUGCUGAUUCUCUUCCCCUCCAUGAACAACUUCCAUAAUAGCUUCCUUUCUUAAAUCUUCCUUUCUCUGAGUUACCUUUAAAGAUUCUAGAUUUUGUAAAAACUGCUUACCACCUGUUUGAAAAUACCUUGUACACUCACGGUUAAGUCAUAGCCUUAGGUGAGGCUUGUUGGUUUCACCUAUGAGGUUACUUUUGGCAAAGUUUAAAAGCCAGAAAUAUUGGCCACUUGGUGUGGCUAAAGUUGGGUAAUAAGGGAUUUAAAAGGAUAUUUUUUUGAAAGAGUGUUAUGGUUGAAAGUCAGCUUAAUUAGGGCAACCCCCUUUGGGUCCCCUCCCAUUUUAUGGGAGCUCUGUUUUCACUCUAUUAAAUCUUGCAACUGCACACUCUUCUGGUCCGUGUUUGUUACAGCUUGAGCUGAGCUUUCACUCGCCAUCUACCACUGCUGUUUGCCGCCAUCACAGACCCGCUGCUGAC